RNAcentral lists this ribosomal RNA (406 nucleotides) under uncultured bacterium. RNAcentral describes it as "partial 16S ribosomal RNA". It matches the Rfam family "Bacterial small subunit ribosomal RNA", at positions 30 to 526 of the family's 1533-position model. The record is from RNAcentral.
AUUGAACGCUGGCGGCAGGCCUAACACAUGCAAGUCGAACGAGAGGCGGACGGGUGAGUAAUGUCUGGGACACUGCCUGAUGGAGGGGGAUAACUACUGGCAACGGUAGCUAAUACCGCAUACCAUCGGCUUUGCCCAGAUGGGAUUAGCUCGUAGGUGGGGUAAAGGCUCACCUAGGCGACGAUCCCUAGCUGGUCUGCGAGGAUGACCAGCCACACUGGAACUGAGACAAGGUCCAGACUCCUGCGUGAGGCAGCAGGGGGGAAUAUGUCACAAUGGGCGCAAGCCUGAUGCAGCAAUGCAGAGUGUAUGAAGAAGGCCUUCGGGUUGUAAAGUACUUUCAGCGGGGAGGCGUUACCCGCAGAAGAAGCACCGGCGAACUCCGUGCCAGCAGCCGCGGUAAUAC